AGAAAUUUAAAUAUUUGGUAGCAGUUGUUUACUAACUUUUUCCUAACAUGGUCUCUUAGUAUUUAAAAAAGGUCUAUAAAUAAUGUUUAAGCAGUAAAAUUGUAUGGGUGAUAAAAUAACAAAUAUCAUUUAAAACAAAGACUAUUAUAAAGGUACUUAGUAACAUUCCACUAGUAGAUAUUAACAGAGCUGGCCAACUUAACAGACAUUUAUAAAACAGCAGCUUCACUUAAAUGUUAAACCAAAGCCAAGAGAAACUUGCUACGUAAGAGAAUUCAACGAUAAGUUUCUCUCUAACAGUGACAGCUUUUCCUGAAGUUCUCUUUGGUUAUUUAACAUUUUCAGAUUGGCACUAGAAGACAGGCUAGUGUCUAGUCUAAUCUACUAUUAUUUUCACCAAGAUAUUAAAAAUAAAAUCUAAAAAUUGUAAGAAUAAAAGAACCAACCAAGAAUUCCUCGCCAAAUUGGCUCAACCCAAAAGUCAAAAUCAAUUGGUUUCCAGAGAGUGGCCGAAACAGCCAAUGGCGAUGCGAAUUUUUCACAAUGCUGGCCAACUAAAUGUAAAAGGCCAAAUUGUGCAUGAAAAGCCCAGACGGAGACCCAAGACCCGACUGGACGAGACAUACAAACGUGCAUAAAUAUGUAACCUUUGUGUAUCCUCGAGUCAUUCGAAAUUUGCACAAAUGAAAAUUGUGGCAGUAAAUUGAAUUACCCAAAACAGCAGCAGUGGAAGUGGAUGUGGCAGUGGGCAGCAACAACAGGAGCAGCCGUGACUACCGCAGUGAAAACAAAACAAUAAAGGCGACGGGAAAAGGAAUAAAAGUGGAAAGGCCUAAACCGGCCUUCUGUCUCUCUUCUCCUCAUCCAACCCAAACUCCCGGCUUCUUUAUCCACCCCUUGGCCCAAAAGACAUCUCUGUUUCAAAACAAAUAACUUGGCUCGUUUGGGGCCAAGCUAAAAAAAAAACAACGUGGAAAACCUAGUGGCAGGAUUUGUUUCAAGUUUCUGGUCCGUAAGAUACCUGAUAGGAUAGCUACACGAACUUAGGAUAACUAUUAUGAUCUUUAGGAAUAAAAUAAAAUAAAAUAAAGUAAGGAAAUCCUUAACUUACUGACUUUUCGUAGAUAAAGAUACCUGCGUUGCAAACUUACUUAUAAAAUAAGAAGACCCACUGCAAGGGUACAAAAAUAAACUGUAGCCGUCACUAACUGCAAAGUCAAAUGAAAUCCUUAGGGACUGACUUGCUCCCCGCCAGCCCUUGUUGUCACAUUAGCCACGCCACGCUGUGCGUCCUUAAUGAGCAUCGCAGACAUAUGCCACGGGAUGUCAGGACCUGAGGCCUUGGAGACCCUUCGCUCUCAGCCUGCGGAAGAUGGCUGUCGGCCGGGGCCAGAGGUCGCGAACCAUGCCCUGGAUGUUUUUAUGGGUCCCAUCACUACGCGUCCAACAAAAAUUACUAUGCUUAGGAUAUCCUUGAAUGGCAACUGCAAAGGAAAAGGAAAAAACCGGAGAGCUUCGGGGUAGUGGUUGAGGUCUGGACCCACGGACACCACGCCAUAUGUAAAUGUCUUUAUUCUUGGUAAGACAAAAAGUCUUUUUUUGGGAGGAUUUGUCCCACUAAAGAACAUAUGGUGGUUAUAAAAGAAAUGUCUAAAAACAUAUAUUUAAAUUGACAAAAUGUCACCAAACUUCACAAUAGAACUUAAAUUCUGAUUCUAAUCCUGAUUAAAGUUUCAAAUCCCAUACGUGAGUGCUGACCAAAGAGCACUCUGUAACCUCCGCCAAUCUGCGACCUCAAAAUCAACGCCAUAUCGUUGUCACCCUAAUGGCCCCGCGUUGGAAAUCAGUUCAAAAUAACUUGGUGGUGGCGUUAGUCCCCUUUUAAACACCCUCUCCGUUAAAAGAACAAAUAGUUUUUAUAUUAAUUUUUUUAUAUUGUAUUAUAAUUAUAAUGGUGGAGAGAAAACUGUGAAUUGAUGGAAGGAAAACAGCUACCAGACCAGCGAGAAAAAGAAGUCCCGAAAAAAAUAAUUUUAAAAAAUCAAAGCUUUGCCUGCCACAUUUUCUCUAUGGUUCUCGCAAAAUUGUAUUUUUGGCUUCCCGUUCCAGUUGCGAGUCCCGAGACAAGAAGUUUUCUAAACAAAUUGCAGAUGCAUUUCGACAUUGUGUUGGUCUUUGGGCAUGAGUGCCACAAAUGUUUCUGACGUCAGCAUCCACCCAGAAAAACCAUUACAUUUGAAUGAAAACUCAUAUGUGAAAGAGGAAAACAAAAAUAUUUAAGAAAAUAAUUAAAAAUUACUUUACAGUCGCAGUAAAGUUUUAUAAAAUGUAUACAAGUUUUAGAUAAAAUACAAAGGCUUGAUUGUUUCGCAUCUACAUAUAUUACUUCUUUUUACAAUUUUUUCAUUUAAUUUUUUUGUUAGUUUUGAAAACCAAAGUAUUUUGCAGCUUUUGUUCUGUUUGUUUCCCCUGUAGUUUUGCUCGAUUUGCGGCAAAUUAAGUUGGCCUGGCCAGCAGACCAUGCUCGUCCAUUGGAGUACUCCCAGCACCACCCACCCACCAUCAGCAGCCACUAGAUGUUCACGCCAUAUCGUCCGGGGCUAGGGUUGACGUUACGCGGGGUCUGUGGGGUUCGUUUGGGUCUGGGGGUCUGGGGUCUGGCUGCUGCCCAAAAAUGCAAUAAAAUUAAAUGUUUUCGUAUAAAAAAAAACUUUAUGACUUUGUGUUUAUGUUCGGAACACGCUCGACGCUCCGACUCCCGGGCCUCGGAGAAUCGCGAUCCGAGACUGUAGACGGGGCAGACUUUAGACGACUCUCGCAGUCCUCAUGAUGGUGUUGUUGCUUUUAGACUUUCGGUUGGACGCUUGGCCUGCUUUAGUUUCUGCGGC
Long non-coding RNA from Drosophila ananassae, 2888 nucleotides. RefSeq lists it as uncharacterized. The transcript has 2 exons. The record is from RefSeq and is a predicted model, not a curated record. Lineage: Eukaryota; Metazoa; Arthropoda; Insecta; Diptera; Drosophilidae.